CCCUUAGAUGUUCUGGGCCGCACGCGCGCUACAAUGAUGAAUUCAACGAGUUUAUAACCUUGGUUGAAAAGCCUGGGUAAUCUUUUGAACUUUCGUCGUGAUGGGGCUAGACCCUUGCAAUUAUUGGUCUCCAACGAGGAAUUCCUAGUAAACGCAAGUCAUCAGCUUGCAUUGAUUACGUCCCUGCCCUUUGUACACACCGCCCGUCGCACCUACCGAUUGAGUGGUCCGGUGAGGCUUUGGGAUCUGAGCGGAAAGAGCGUUUCGCUGUUUCUGCUCGGAAAGCUCAGUCGAACCUUAUCAUUUAGAGGAAGGAGAAGUCGUAACA
This 328-nucleotide ribosomal RNA is filed under the name uncultured eukaryote. RNAcentral's name for it is "partial 18S ribosomal RNA". It matches the Rfam family "Eukaryotic small subunit ribosomal RNA", at positions 1470 to 1796 of the family's 1831-position model. The record is from RNAcentral.